AAAUUGAACUCGCUGUGAAGAUGCAGUGUACCCGCGGCAAGACGGAAAGACCCCGUGAACCUUUACUAUAGCUUGACACUGAACAUUGAGCCUUGAUGUGUAGGAUAGGUGGGAGGCUUUGAAGUGUGGACGCCAGUCUGCAUGGAGCCGACCUUGAAAUACCACCCUUUAAUGUUUGAUGUUCUAACGUGGACCCGUAAUCCGGGUUGCGGACAGUGUCUGGUGGGUAGUUUGACUGGGGCGGUCUCCUCCUAAAGAGUAACGGAGGAGCACGAAGGUUGGCUAAUCCUGGUCGGACAUCAGGAGGUUAGUGCAAUGGCAUAAGCCAGCUUGACUGCGAGCGUGACGGCGCGAGCAGGUGCGAAAGCAGGUCAUAGUGAUCCGGUGGUUCUGAAUGGAAGGGCCAUCGCUCAACGGAUAAAAGGUACUCCGGGGAUAACAGGCUGAUACCGCCCAAGAGUUCAUAUCGACGGCGGUGUUUGGCACCUCGAUGUCGGCUCAUCACAUCCUGGGGCUGAAGUAGGUCCCAAGGGUAUGGCUGUUCGCCAUUUAAAGUGGUACGCGAGCUGGGUUUAGAACGUCGUGAGACAGUUCGGUCCCUAUCUGCCGUGGGCGCUGGAGAACUGAGGGGGGCUGCUCCUAGUACGAGAGGACCGGAGUGGACGCAUCACUGGUGUUCGGGUUGUCAUGCCAAUGGCACUGCCCGGUAGCUAAAUGCGGAAGAGAUAAGUGCUGAAAGCAUCUAAGCACGAAACUUGCCCCGA
RNAcentral lists this ribosomal RNA (764 nucleotides) under Salmonella enterica. Its description in RNAcentral is "partial 23S ribosomal RNA". It matches the Rfam family "Bacterial large subunit ribosomal RNA", at positions 2039 to 2802 of the family's 2925-position model. The record is from RNAcentral. Lineage: Bacteria; Pseudomonadati; Pseudomonadota; Gammaproteobacteria; Enterobacterales; Enterobacteriaceae.